UUUUUUUUUGUUGAAGUAGCCUAGUGGCUGAAAUUCACCCUUUAAAGAUGAACAUAUAGGAUGUCACGCAUUUGAGCCGCUCUCCUACCUCGGAUGUCCCUGUACAGCUAGUAUCUGAGUUGGCUAACGGGACAAGAAUCUAGUAUUUUAGUUACUACCUUUGUCCCUAUAUUUAAUCAUUUUAGGUUUGGGCCCACACAUUAAAAAAUAAUAAUUAAGAUAACCUUUUUACCCUUAACUCAUUUACUAAGAUUCAUUGAAUGCGGGUUUUUUUUUUGUAAGGGUACAAAAUGAAAGAUAUUAUUAAUUGUAUCUUGGUUUCUUAAAAUAACCAAAGUGUUGAGUAAGGAUCCUCUUCAUUUCUAAAAAGAAAUGGAGGUGUCAAUUACUAUAGUUGUAUUGUGUAAAUGUGUAGUUAUAAUCACCAUUUUUUAAAAUAUGUGCAUUCAUAUCACACAUUUAUAUCAAAACACAUUUAUAUCAAAACUAUAGUAAUGGACACCUCCAUUUCUUUUGAGAAAUGAAAAAGAUCAUUACCCCUAAGGUUUUGGGUUAAAUAAAAAGCUUAUAAGACAAGAUUUGGAACGAAAGAAGUAUUAGUAUAAACAAAAGUUAUUACUUUUCCCCCAUUGUUGUCAGAAAAGGCAUUAUGAGGAGGUAUCUGUAGGAUAUCUACUAGCAGAGUGCUCAAAAUGAGUGCUUGAAGUCUAAGCCAUACUAGUAUAUAAGAACAAAACAAAGCAAAACUCAGAUAAUGUAUGAGUAUGGAACUACAUACUGCAGCCAGUAGCCUUCAUGAUUGCAUUACUAAUGAAGGGAACUUUGGAACACAUUGCAGCUACCACCUGUUAUCAUAAGCCAAUCAGCCUAGGAAAAUAAACAAGACCAUUGUCUCGCAUUUAUUAGCACUUUCAAGUUUAAAUAUGUUAAAAACAUAGCACACAAUUUUGCAUAUCUUUCUGUUUUACACUAAAUUUAGCAGAGUUUUCAAGUUUGGAGACAUGUCUGCACUAGCGCGCAUUAAGUAAUGUAAAAUAAACCCAUGUUAAUUUAAAUUGAUGUACUUUAGACAAAAUUACUUACUGAUUGAGGAGUAGUAUCUAUUGAAGGGUAAUGAGAUUUCGGGAUAAUGAGCGAGUGCCUGGUAAACAAAAUAUAGAUGUGAGAAGUAAAUAGAUAAACAAUGUCAUGCAGAAUAGUUGAAAAAGCAAAAUAAAAUCGGUUUGUGAACUUGUAGCGAGAUUACUUAAUCAGCCAAUAUGCCAAUGACAAACUCCAACAUUCAACCAAAUCUCUCAAAAUGGAAUGCAAUAAUGGAUAUUUCGGAGUUCUUCUCAAACAGAACUUUACAUCACUAUCCUUUCUCUUCUGUUCCAAAUUAACUUGAAUAGUUUCGAAGUGUAUGGCCAAAUGUACAUGCAGCCAAACUUGUGAAAUAACUAAAAAAAACAUUGGAAUAUGGGAUUGCACAUAAGACAUAUAAUACCUUACCCAUUACUCAACGGGUUUGUAUCCAAUAUGCAUAGGCACGUGUCAUCUUCAUAAAGCUGUUGGAGUAACAAGGUAUUAAAAUGAGCGGUGAAGAGAAAACUUGGUUGGAUUGAAUAUCAAUAAUUAGUAGUAAUUAACAAGUACAACAGCAUCAGCCAAGUAUAUAACUAGUAACGGUCAAUAACAAUAAAAGCAUGCCAUUCAAAAUUCCACCAAAGGCCUUUGCAAUUAUUACUUAGCAUUUAUAAGACUUAGACAUCAGGCCUCAUUAUUACUUUUUCUAACAAUAAAAUGACUAACCAAUGUCAUUAAUUCACGCUUUUAACAACUUCUCACUUAUACAACAUAUCAACCCAACAAGUUUUAGGGUAAUUAGUUUAGUUUGCUCACUAUUGUACAACAAUCAAGCUUUAUCUCAAAGGUAAAGUCUGCUACAUGAAUCAACUUUUGUCAUAAUAUUGUUAAUCUCGAGAUCUUUCUGAAUAAUUUUUUUUAUAGUUUUUCUAGAUCUUCCUCUAUCUCUAGUUGCUUGACUCCUCUCCAUCUGAUAUACCCUCUUUACCAAAGAAUCUACAUAUUUUCUCUCUACAAGCUCAAACCAUCACCAUUUUUUCUACUAUAGGAGUUACCCAACAUUCUCACUAUUCUAAAAUGAACAAUCCAUUUUAGAAAGUAAAACAAGAGACUUUAGUCAUUGAUGAGUAGUGUCUGUACAAUACAACACGGACAACCAAGUCUCAUCCCACUAAAUGGGAUCAGCUACAUAGAUCAAACCAAGACAUAGUGUUUGUACAAUAUGUUAUAAAUAAGAUCAGGCUCCUCUAACAUAAGCACCUAACUAGCUUUAAAGUAUGAAGUGAGUACUAUAAACAAUUGAUUCACUCCAUGUAGCACCGAGACCUCUGAACAAAAUCUGAAAAAAAAGUGUGAUCAAUAUAUCUUACUUCUUUAUACUCUAAACUAAGAAUUUGACUUUUAAAGGAGAGAAAUCCACUUAGAGGAUAGAUUUAUAUCAUUGACUGAAUCAAAUUAGCCCCAAAUUAACGUCAAAACCUUCGUAUUAUUAUCAUCUAUUUAUGACAAUUUCCAAAUAGGUUUAAUCUGAACCACAAUUACACAAACAACCAAAGAAAGGAAGAAAAAAAAACCUUGACAGCAUGAGAUUGACCACGAAUGAUAUUGCAGAAGACACAAUCAUGUAUCCAAUUCUGAUUCUUGAUAUCACCUAAUCGCGUUUCGGAAUCGGAACCAGAUGAACAAACCGAACCGGAUAGGUGGAAAGGGCGUUGAUCCGAAGCCAAACGGGUCGGGUUGAGAUGGGAGGACAAAACGGUAAAUCUCCUUGUUGCUUCAAUGAACAUGAUUGCGGAGAUUUGAAAAUCGGGAAGCACGGUUAGUUGAAAUUGGAAGAAGCGAUUCGUGGCGCGUCGAUACUCGCCAUGGAUUUUUUUAUUUUUUUUGGUUUGAAAGUUGUCACGAGGGAAGUAGCAAAAUUCAACGGUUACGGUUUGAUUAGUUUAUGGAGAGGAUGAUGGUGAAUUUUUUAUUUUUUUUAAAUGCGAUUGCAUGACAUCGAUUCUUAUCCACAUUAUGAGUGUUUAGCUAUAGAUGGUUAUCGCCAAGGCUACUUUUUUUAUAAGUAAAAAAUUGGAGGAAGAGAAAUGUUUUUUAUAAAUAAAGUCAGGUUAUGAUUAUUUUAUGACCAUCUAGAAGAGAUAGAAAUAUAUUUAUUUAUUAAUCAAUUUAGUGUGAAAUAAUAAAAUUUGUUUUGUUAUUUUCGAUAUUAAUAAUUAAAAAUUAAUAAUUAAUAUAAUUUUAUAAUUUAUUUCUUGUGAUUUAUUUUUAAAAUUUUGAAUUAUUUUAUUAAUAUAGUAGCAUUUGAAUAAGUACUUAUUUAAUAGCAUUUGAAUAAGUAUUUAUUUAGUGGCUAUUUCUAUCUUAAAGGUUUAAAAUUGUAGUGCCUUCUAUUUUUUAAAUAUGUUAAACGUAAGUUGUGUUUAUUAAUAUAUGAAUUCUUUGAUUGUUUUUGUGUAUGAUCUUAGUAUUUUUAUCGAAUUUUAUUUCAAUCUGUUUUAGUUAAGCUAAAAAAUACAAAGUUUUGUUGGUAAUAACUAAUGGUAGAAAUAAAAUGUGGGUAACUUAAUUUAAGUUGAAAUUGGUUAGUAAAAAUAGGAAGACAAAGUUAAACAACUAAACUUUAACUUAAAUUCAUUGUAAUUAUUAAAACAAUUAUUACAAUUUUUGCACAUUCUUUUCUUCAUGGGUAGAGCUAUUAAAAUUAGUUAGCUCAUAUAAGUCGGUUCGAAACUCCAAUAUAAUAUAAAGUUUUCAGAUUUAUAAAGUUUUUUUUACUUCGAUUCUAGAAAGUCUGUUAUAUAUUGGAGUUAUAUUGUAUGAAUCACAUGUGUAACACUCCAGAAUUUAAUUUAUUUAUUUAAUCAAAUUAUUUAUAUUUGCAUUUAAUAAUUAAUAUAUGAUGUGUUUUUAACUAAAUAUAUAUUGAAUAGUAUGUGUAUAUGUGGUGGGGUGUAGUGACCGGGUGUAGUGAGAGUUUUGGUAGAGUACGAGAAGGAUUAUAGUUAUUGAAUAAUUAAAAAUAAUUAUUAUUAUAUUUAUUUUGAUUAAUUAAUUAAAAUAAAUUUAAAAAAUAAGAUUUUGGGUGGAAAGUAUAAAAUUAGAGAAUAUGAGGGGAUUGGUGAAAGUUGUAAUAUAAGUUGGGUUUUAUUGCAAUAUUUAAGAGAUUAAAUAAUUUGGUUAGGGAUAAAUAAUUGUUAGUAGAGUUUGGGAGAAAAAUAAUACGUGAAAACAGAUUUUGGUGAAAAAAGACAAGGUAAUGCUAAGGUUUGAAGAGGGAAGAAAAACCUUGAGUAAUUCUGAAUUUUUAUAAGCAAACUAAGGUAAAGGGGAGAAAUCGCUUUUUUUUAUGGGUGUCUAGAAUGAAAGGCCAGAGAAGAGAGGUCCUUACUCUCUUUGUGUGAUUUGAUUAUGAAUUGUUGUUGUAUGUAAUUUUGGAAUUUGAUGAUUAAAGGUGCAUUCAUCUAAUUUUCGUAGAUGGAAUGUGCAUAUGUGGUUUUGUUUAUGUGUGUUUAUGUUUGUGUGACAUUGUUGGAGUUGUUGAAAGCAUGGUCAUAAAUAUGAAUUGAUAAAAUUGAAUGAAUUAAAUGGUGUGGCUAUGUGAUUUAACAUGUCUUAAUGAUUUUAUAACAUGUGAUAUGAUUUUAUGGAUGUUUGAGGAUGUUUGGGACUGAGUUGGGGAAGGUUUGGAGGUUAUGUAGUGCAAAAAUUGUGUUUUCGGUGAUGCAUGUCCGGGAGACCUCGCCCACCGAGCUUGCCCGGUGCGCUUGGCCAUGUGAACUUCGCUCGGUGAGCUGUUGUGCUCGUUUGGCGAAGAUGACAGCAUAAGGUUGUUGUUCGCGACUCGAAUUGUCGUAACUUCAGUUUUGGGACUCGGAUUGAGACGUGGUUUGAAGCGUUGGAAAGCUAAUGCACGAAGCUACAUUAUCGUAGUUCCUUAUGAGAUGAAUUUCCACAUUUGAAUUAUGUAUUAAUAUAUGUUAUGAAGUGUGUGUAUAACUACGUGACUUAUUGUACAUGCUUGAUGAUGAAUUGAUAUUGAGAUGAUUUAAAAUGAUUGAGUGUUGUAUGUGAAUAUAUAUUUGACAUGGUGUUAAUGUUUAAUUAUUGUUUGGAGGUAUUUUUGUAUUAUUUAUUAUUUAUUGUGGAAUUAAUCAAUUGUUGUGUAUUGAGAAUGAUGUUGUGCAUAAUUGUGGUAAACACUUGGUGAUCAUUUUGGUGAUAUUGCAUGUUGUUGAAAAUCAUACAUCAUGGUGUACAGAAUUCAGUCCAACUUUGGUGUGCUCUGGUCCGAUUAUAUAGAUUCAGGAGCGAGUAGAUGGCUUCAUAUGGGAAUCGGUGAAGCGUUACGAAAGUUGUUAGUAGCGAAUUUGUGUGCUUUGGUCUGAUGGUGUGGAUUCAGGAACGAGUAGUUGGUUCCAUAUGGAAAUCAGUGAAGCAUUACUAAAGGUGUUAGUAGCGAAUUUGUGUGCUCUGGUGCAAAAGUGUGGAUUCAGGAGCGAGAAUAUGUGUUGUUCAUAAUGGUAUAACAUGCAUAAGUGUCACGUGUGUGUGUGUGUAUAUAUAUAUAUAUAUACUAUGGUGAUGUUCAUUACGUAUGGAAUGUGUGUUAUGUUGUAUGUUUCUCUACCUUCGCAUUUUUUACGCUGUUCGUAUUGAAUGUUGUUUCUCACCCUUUUAUUUCAUGUUGUCCACCAUGGACAUCUUGUAGAUAACCAUGAGCGAGUAUUGUUGUUGUGUAUGGAAGGUGGCUUGUUGGAGCUACUCUUUAUUUUUUUCUAUUCAUCGUACUUUAGUGAUUUUGGUGCUCUGAUCGUGUAACAUCGGAAACGGGAGUUUGUUAAGUUUUCAUGUUAACGUUGACUUUGGUGCUUGAGAAGUUUAUUAACUAUUUAUGAAGUUUUAUUAAAGUGUUUAUGAUAUGAUUUCUGCUGCAUGUUGAUAAUUGUUGAAUUGUGUUUUGGAUUGUCGUUGGUGACACCUUAAAUUGUCAAAUAAUAUUUAUAUAAAUUUCAGAGUAUAUAGUGUUACAACAGACAUCUCGUUUGGCCCUCAUAACUAAAAAUUUAAAAGUUAUAUUAAUUUAUAUGUUGUUUCACUAAAAAAAUUACACAUUGCUCAAACUUCACAAUAUUUUAUCUUUUAUAUUAUAUUCAAAAUAUAUAUAUUAUAUAUUAAUAUAAUUAUAUUAAGAUUUAAUUAUUUCUCAUUCUAUUUUUUUUAUUUUCUCUUAUUCUAUUAUUUUUGUGUUAUAUUGGAUAUUUUUGUAUUAUUUUGAACAAUUUAAAACAGAUAUUAUAUUUAAAAAUAUGUUAAAUUACUUUUAAAAAAUAAUAUAGUACUUAAAAUAUAUUAUAUUCAAAAUAAUAUACUUUAUAUAAUAAAUAUUAUGGAUUUUUUAUAUAAUAAAUAAUAAAAAUAAUACAUAUCUACACCGACUCAGAAUCCCUUUCAUUUCGAUUUAGUUUUUUUCUAGAAGUUGAUAGCAUUGUCUCAUUGUAAUGUCUCGUGCACCGAUAACCACUCCCUCGCCCUCGGGUGUUACAUGCAACCACUCUCCACUCUCUUCGGCCUCGGGUGUUAUAUAUCCACUAGAUUCCACUUGAUUCAUCCCUGAAUCACAUCGUACUGGGAGAGGUCUGCUCUGAUACCAGUUGUAACACCCUAGACUGCUUUCAAGAUUAUCGACGAACCCCGCAAAUCAAUACGGGUUUUUUCAGUAUGCUUUGUCCUCACUCACACGCUUUUUGAGAAACUUCUCAGAAGGCCAUUCAUCCUACUACUACCCCAAGUCAAUCACGAUUAACUAUGGAGUUCUUAUUUGUUAGGCUACCGGAAAAAAUAUGCAUCUUGUUGGUAUAUCUAAUACCAAUUAAUCCUUAUAAGCAUUUCUUCAACCAUGCACACCCAUAUCUCCACAACCUCAAGAUCUCUCUCAUUUUGAUGUGAAUUCGGUUUUUUCCCUAGAAACUGCUAGGAGUGUAUCAUUGUCAUGUAUUGUGCAUCGACAACCACUUUCUUGCUCUCGAGUGUUACACUGAUAUGAGUGUCUCAUUGACAUGUCUUGUGCACCGACAAUCACUCUCUCUCUCUCUCUCUCUCUCUCUCUCUCUCUCUCUCUCUCUCUCUUUCUCUCUCUCUCUCUCUCUCUCUCUCUCUCUCUCUCUCUAGUGUUACAUGUAACCACUCUCCACCCUCUUCGGCAUCGGGUGUUGCAUGCCCACCAGCUUCCGCUUGGUUCGUCCCCGAACCACAUCGUACUGGGAUAGGUUUGCUUUGAUACCAUUUGUAACGCCUCAUACUGCUUUCAAGAUUACCGACUGACCUCACAAAUCAACACAUGUCUUUUCAGCCUCACUUACAUGCUUUCUGAGAAACUUCCCAAACGCUCACCCAUCCAAAUACUACUCCAAGUCAAACCUCAUUAACUAUGGAGUUUUUAUUUUGUAGGCUAUCGAAAAGAAGAUGCAUUUUAUUGGUAUAGAUAGUACCAAUCAAUCCUUAUAAGAAUUUCUUCAACCAUGCAGUCUCAUACCUGCACAUCCUCAGGAUCUCUCUCAUUCCGAUGUGAGUUCGGUUUUUCCAUAGAAGCUGCAAGGAGUGUCUCAUUGACAUGCCUCGUGCACCGACAACCAUUAUUUCUCCCUCGGGUGUUACAUAUAACCAUUCCCCUCCCUUUUUGGUCUCAGGUGUUACAUGUCCAUCAUCUUUCGCUUGGUUCGUCCAUGAACCACAUCUUACUGGGAGAGAUCCGCUUUGAUACCAUUUUUAACUCCCCAGACUAUUUUCAGGAUUACCGACGGACCUCACAAACCAACACGAGUCUUUUCAGCAUGCUUUAUCCUCACUCACACGCUUUCCGGGAAAUUUUCCCAGAAGGUCGCACAUCCAAAUAAUACUUCAAGUCAAGCACGCUUCACUAUGGAAGUCUUAUUUGUUAUGCUACCGAAAAGAAUAUGCAUCUUGUUGGUAUUGUUAGUACCAAUUAAUUCUUAUAAGCCUUCCUUCAACCAUGCAGACUUAUAUCUGCACAGCCUUAGGAUCCCUCUCAUUCCGAUGUGAAUUAGGUUUUUCCCCUAGAAGCUGUUAGAAGUGUUUCAUUGUCAUGCAUCAUGCACCGGCAACCAUUACAUCGCCCUCGUGUGUUACAUGUAACCACUCUCCGCCCUCUUCGGCCUCGGGUGUUAUAGACGCCAUAUUUGAGCUGAGGCAAUAUGGUUUAUAAAACCAUGCAAUUUCUCUUGCUUUAAUGCAUUUGAAAGAAAUUAUUAAGGAAUGACAAAGAAAAUAGUAGUUGACUGUUGCAUCACAUUAGCAUGUUAUUUUCUUGCCACACUACAUAUUGAUGACUAGUUGGCGGAGUUCGUAGUAUUUAUAAUCACAUAAGGUUUUAUGUCAAUGAAGGAUAUAAUAAUCGGUGUGAUUCAAUACUGCUUGAGUUUUGUUGGAUGGAGUCAUAUUCAGACAAUGUACCUGGAAUCCUGCAUUUCCUUAAAAUGCGGCCGCAUUUUAAAAAAUUUGUCAUCAACACGAGAGUCAUUCUCAAAAUGUGUCUUAAAAAUAAAAGUCACACAAUUGAUUUUGCCUAAGUGGGAGAAUGUUAUAUUUAUCUAACAUCUCGUGGGCUACAAUCAAUUGUUAUUUAAGUUGUGAAAAUUGGGUUAAUGGUGAUUCUAUUGAAGGUGCAUAAAUAAGUCAUUUUAUUAGUUAAGUGAUCUUUUUCAAUUAAAGGUUGAGUAUCUGAAAUCUGAUUGGUGUGGGCAAAAAUGUGUAUUUUAACCCUUGGCUCAUAAUGGGUAGGGACUAGGGUUAUAUGUAUAUUAUAUGGCUAGGUCUCCUUUGUAAUCACAAUAAUCAGAAACAUAAUUGACGGCUCCACAACUUACCCCAUUGAGAGUUGUGAGCUGGAAUAUGAGAUAUAGGGGAAGAUUCGAUCAUUUAUUUUUUCAGGAUCCUGAAUCAUAACUUCAACAAGUGUUGAUGUUCUAAUUUCAUAUAAUCUAUCAAUAAAUAUUUCUGCUUACAUUAUCAUUGUCAUAAAUUGAACAUUUUCAAUGUGAAUGUCAUCCAAGGAAGGAAAAUGAAACAAAAAUCUUAAAAUCUAAACAAGAAAUGUUUUAUUGGAAUAUACUAAGGACAAACAACCGAUUAAGAAAGAAUUAUCAUUUCUUUAUUCAAGUGAAGUAAUCAUAUGGGUAGAAAUAUGUUUAAUAUAUUUUUUAGUCUUGUAUCUUAAUCUCGAAAUUCAUUUUGGUCACAUAUCUUUUUAAAAUGUUUAUAUUGGUCUCUUAACUCUUUAAAACAUAUCAUGUUAGUCAUUUUUGUCUAAUUAGCGACAAAUUUAACGAUCAAUUUUUGAGUUUUUUCCAUCGUUAAUUAGACAAAAAUGACUAAUAUAUUAAGUUUUGAAGAGUUAAUGGAUAAUAUGGACUAAAAUCAACCUCAAAAUUAAAAUACGAACCAAAAAGAAUAUUAAGUCGUAGAAAUAAGAAACUAUUCUAUAAUUUGAAUGAAAACUUAAGAUAAACAAUGAAAUUCGAAACAUUUAAAACAUGAUUGUGAAGAGAAAAGACACUGUGUGAUUUGAUUUCAAUUAUAUGGAAUCUCAUAUAUCAUUACUAGAAUUUCAUUCACAUAUCAUUACUAGAAUUUCAUUCACAUAUCAUUACUAGAAUUUCAUAUGUACAUGAAUUAAAAACAACUUAUUAAGUAUUGGUCAGCUAUAAGAAAAAAGAUUAACAGUCACUUUUCAACAUGAAAGAUUCAAUAUCUAUCAUAAGGGAAAAGGUUUUUUAUUAUGAAAGAUUCAAUAUCUAUCAUAAGGGAAAAGGUUUUUUAUUAUGAAAAUAACAAUCUCUUCAGCUUGUUUAAGCACAAUCACUUAAAACUCAACUCAGUAAUGGAACUCAAAACUCUCACCAAAAUUUAUGAAGAUUGUUUUGUGUGAAACCAACUAAGGGAUAUUUCCCUAAAGUGAGCCCUUAGACCGCAUCUAAAAUUAUAUAUUUGGUGAAUGUUGACAUAUGUCAAUCUGUUCUAUCAACUCACACAACAACAAAAGUGCAUAUGGAUACUUUUAUUGAUGAUUAUAGUCGAAAAACAUGAGUAUAUUUUUUAAUAGAAAAGUUUGAAGCUUUUCACAAUUUUGAAAACAUUAAAAAUCAGAGAGAAAGUAAUAGGUAUAUUCAUAAAAUAUUUGUGUACCGAUAAUGGUAGAGAAUUUAGGGGCCCGUUUGUUUUGGCUUUUUUUUAAAAUGAUUUUUAUAGUGUUAUAUAUUUUAGUGUAAAAAAAAAUUUACAAAGAAACUUUUCAUAAAAGCUUCAAAUGAAAAUUUUGUUUGAAUAGUUAUUCUUAAAAUGUUAAUUUAGGUAUUUUAUCAUUUUAUCAAAACUUUUUUUGGAUAUCAAAAUUUCAAAAAAUCACUUAAUUUUGAAGCUAUUUCAAAUAGUUUUUUCUAAAAAUCAUUUUUGAGAUAUAAUUUUUUUUUUCAAAUUGUGAUUUUGACUAUGUUUUGAUCUUCAAUAAUGUAUAUUUAUGUUAUACAAUGAACAAUUCAAUCUAUUAAUUUAUAAAAAUUAAAUUUAGAAAAACUUGUAAUAUUUUGAAAAACAUUUUUGUAAAAUCCAUUUUCAAAAAUAUACAGAAAAAAUCCAUUUUUUUAAAGCUAAAACAAACUGGUCCUAAAUCACAAGGGUUUAGCGAUUUUUGUUAGAAGAAUGGUAUAAAUAGGUACAUUAUGAAGAUGCUCUCUUGCUUAAUGAGAAACAAAUUCGGAUGAAUUUGAUGGAUAAAGUCAUCAAUUAGAUUGUUCAUGUGUCAAAUCGUUGACCAACAAUUGAUGUAAAAGAAAAGACUUGUAAAGAUGUUUGGAGUGAUUUUAAGCUAUCACUAGAGUACUUUAGAGUUUUUGGAUGUGCGCCACAUGUCCACUUACCGAAAAAACUAGAUAUCACAAGUAUCAAAGACAUGUAGGUUGUAUGAUUUUUGUUAAGAUUAGCUACUUUAUUCAUUGGAUUAUAUUAGUUGAUUAAUAUAGUUGAUAAGGCUAUUGUUAGUUAAGUGGUUAUUUGGUUAGUUAGUUUCAUUUGAUUGGCUAUUAUGUGAUAGGAGUGUACUAUAUAAGAGUUGUACUAUCACACUUGAAUAAUCAAUGAAGCUAUAAUUCUCUCUUCUUGAAGUUUUCUUUCUCAUUUCCAUUUUAUUAUCCUUUCUUCAAUGAUGAAAUAACUUCAUCACAAUAUGGUAUCAUUCGCCAAUUCGAUUCUCCUUCCGCUGUUAUCCAAUUGAAUCCUUCUACUCCAUCUGUUUUUCUUUCUGCAUUCACUUCUUUCUGCAUCCAUGGCUCCUCCUCGAGCUCCACCACUUGAUCCCGCUUUGGAUCAAACUUCACCUUAUUUUGUUCACCCUAGCGAUGGCCCCGGUUCUGUUACAGUUCUUCUGAAACUCACUGGUUCCAACUAUCAUUCAUGGGCUCGAAGCAUGAAGAGGGCUCUUGGUGGCAAAAUGAAGAUUGAGUUCAUUGAUGGAUCUCUUCCUGUUCCUGCUGAUUCUUUCGAUCCAUCUUUGCGUGCUUGGAAUCGCUGCAACAUGCUAGUACAUUCUUGGAUCAUGAAUUCUGUUUCAGAUUCAAUUUCUCAGUCUAUCGUCUUCAUGGAGAAUGCGCUUGAUGUAUGGAACGAUUUGAAAGAAAGGUUUUCUCAGGUAACCUCAUUCGAAUUUCUGAGUUGCGGCAAGAAAUAUACAAUCUCAAGCAAGAAACCAAAUCGGUAACUGAUUUUUUUAUGAUCUUAAAAUUCUUUGGGAAGAAUUAGAUUUGUAUUUGCCUUUACCAACUUGUACAUGUCGCAUAAAGUGUUCUUGUGAAGCUAUGCGCGGUGCAAGAUCUAAUCAUCGGCUGCUGCAAAUUAUCAGACUCUUGACUGGUUUGAAUGACCAAUUUGUUGUAGUUAAGUCUCAAAUCUUGUUAAUGGAUCAUUUGCCUAAUAUGAAUAAGAUAUUCUCCAUGGUUAUCCAACAUGAGCGACAAAUUCAGCUCCCUAUUCCCAAUGAUGAGUCUGAAACACUGAUUAAUGCUGCUGAUUCCAAGAAGUUUGGGCAAGAAACAAUACAUUCAAGCAUGGUGCUCGUGUUUGCACAUUCUGUGGCAAGACUAAUCACAAUGUGGAAAACUGCUUCAAGAAACAUGGGGUACCACCUCAUAUGCAGAAGCAGUUUUAGAAUUAAGCUAACAAUGUGGCAUCAGAUGGAAAUGAUGAUGGAUCUUCCUCUAGUGGUGAUGACAUCAAAAGUGACAAUUCACCUAUGACUCAAGGUCAAUUCAGUGCUUUAAUGGAUCUAAUUCAGAAAUCAAGCAUUGGCCAAUCUUCAGGACAUGCUUCUUCCAACCAAGUUGUUGUUGGUCAUCCAUUAAUAGGUAACACAUAUCAUUGCAUGCAUAGUAGUAGUAGUGGUUCUUGGAUCAUUGAUUCAGGAGCUACUUAUCACAUAUGUAGUUCUGUCCAAUGGUUUCAUUCAUAUAGGAAAAUUAUUCCCAUCAAUGUUAGAUUGCCAAAUGGACAAUGUUUUGUUGCUAAACAUUCUGGCACAAUUUAUUUUUCCCCUGACUUCAUUGUGCAUAAUGUUUUUUGAUUCCUGAAUUUUCUUUAAACCUAUUAUCUGUUUCAAAAUUGUGUGAAUCCUCUAAUUGCAAUGUCAAUUUCCUCAAUUCACAAUGUGUUAUACAGGACAAAAUCACCAUGAAGAUGACUGGUUCUGCUGAGCAGAAAGAUGGAUUGUACUACUUAACACUAAGAGAUAAUGAUCCACCUACUACACACACACACCUGCUUUAACCUCUGCCCUAGCAGCCAAUGUCACUUUACCAGAUAGAGCCUUAUGGCAUUUUAGAUUAGGACACUUAUCUCAAAACAGACUAUUGUACUUACAUUCUCAAUUUCUCUUUUAUCAAAGUAAAUCAUAAAGAUGUUUGUGAUGUAUGUUGUUAUGCUAGACAAAGAAAGCUUUCUUAUACUGUUAAUAAUAAUAGAACUGCUCACCCUUAUGACUUGAUCCAUUUUGACAUUUGGGGACCUCUUGCAGUUCAAUCUUUACAUGGUCAUUCAUAUUUUUUAAUUGUUGUUCAUGACUGUAGCAGAUACACAUGGAUAACAUUAAUGAAAGCCAAAUCUGAAGUUAGACAGCAUGUUAUAAACUUUGUUAGUCUCAUAGAAAAUCAACAUAAGCUUUGUGUCAAAAUUAUCAGAACUGAUAAUGGUCCUGAAUUUAGCAUCCCUGAAUUUUAUGCAUCUAAGGGAAUCAUUCAUCAAACAAGUUGUGUUGAAUCUCCACAACAAAAUGGUAGAGUGGAGAGGAAACAUCAACAUUUAUUAAAUGUUGGAAGAGCUUUUCUUUUUCAGUCAAAACUUCCAAAGAAAUUCUGGUCAUAUGUCAUUUUGCAUGCAACAUUCAUUAUAAGUAAACUUCCUACACAAGUUUUAAACAAUCUUUCUCCUCAUUUCAUACUGCACAAUGCACAUCCAGAUAUGCAUAGUCUCAAAGUGUUUGGAUCUCUAGCUUUUGCAUCCAUAUUACAUAUGCAUAGAACAAAACUUGAGCCAAGAGGUCGAAAAUGUGUAUUCUUAGGAUACAAGAAUGGUAUGAAGGGUGUGGUGCUCUAUGAUAUUAACAGUCAUACAAUUCUUGUUUCUAGAAACGUCAUACAUCAUGAGCACAUUUUUCCCUAUUCAAAUGCAAAUUCUACUAAUUGGAACUAUCACCCUUACAAAGAUCCCAUUGACUCACCACAACAUGAUCCUAUCAUACCUGUUCCAUCACAAAGUAUUGAAUCCACUGUUGAGGAACAUGACCAUCAUCCUAACACAACCAUUGACACACUACACCAUUCUAACAUUGACCUUGAAUCUUUAGAAAAUGCUGAUGAGAACCAUGACAUUCAAUUUAUCCCUGAUACAUCAGAUAUUGAAAAUGACAACAUUCGAUCUAGGCCUGUUAGAGCCAAACAUACACCUCGUUAUCUCUCAGAUUAUGUGUGCAAUACAUCUGAUGCAUCAGCAGUCAAGUCAUCAUCAGGUACAACCAAAAUUAUCUAUCCUAUUUCAAAUUAUGAUUCAUUGCAUUUUCUGUCUACAUCUCAUCGUGCCUUUGCAUCCAAUAUCACUCUUACACAUGAGCCAAAGAACUACAAAGAAGCAUGUUUGUCUGAACAUUGGAUUAAGGUCGUGAAGUAUGAAUUAGAUGCAUUAUACAAGAAUAGGACUUGGAACAUAGUUGAUUUGCCACCACAUGUCAAACCAAUUGGUAACAGAUGGGUGUUCAAAGUAAAGCAUAGAGCGGAUGGCACAAUAGAGAGGUAUAAAGCUAGACUUGUUGCCAAGGGCUACAACCAAAUUGAAGGGCUUGAUUUCUUUGAUACUUUUUCACCUGUAGCAAAGCUUACAACUGUCAGAACUCUUCUUGCAAAUUCUUGCAACUGCAGCCAUCAACAAUUGGUUCUUACAUCAACUUGAUGUUAACAAUGCAUUUUUACAUGGGGAAUUGCAGGAAGAUGUGUAUAUGACCAUACCUGAAGGUGUUACAUGUCACAGGCCUAAUCAAGUAUGCAAACUCCAAAAGAGUUUAUAUGGUCUGAAACAAGCCAGUCGCAAAUAGUAUGAAAAGCUAACAACUCUUUUACUUCAACAAGGGUACACUCAAUCUACUUCUGAUUAUUCCCUUUUCACUUUGAAAACUGAUGCUCAAUUUACAGCUAUUUUAGUCUAUGUUGAUGACAUAAUCCUAGUUGGAACCUCUAUGUCUGAAUUUGGUCGUAUCAAACUCAUUCUAGAUGAAAAUUUUAGCAUCAAAGACCUGGGAAUACUCAAGUAUUUUCUUGGCCUCGAGGUUGCUCAUUCAAAGGCGGGGAUUUCACUAUCACAACGAAAAUAUUGUUUUGAUCUCUUGCAGGAAUCUGGUAUGCUUGGAUCCAAACCAGCUCGCACACCAUCAGUUAAGCUACAUGCUGAUAGUCACAAAGCUUUUGAAGACAUUGGAGCUUAUAGACGAUUAAUAGGUCGUAUGUUGUACCUUAACACCACACGCCCAGACAUUACCUAUGCCACUCAGCAACUCAACCAGUUUCUUCACAAUCCAACAAUGACACACUACCAUGCUGCUUGUAGAGUCAUACGCUACUUGAAGAAUAGCCCUGGUAGAGGAAUUCUGUUUCACAAGAAUGAUGAAUUACAACUUCUUGGCUUCUCAUAUUCUGAUUGGGCAGGGUGCCUUGAUUCAAGGAGGUCCAUUUCAGGAUAUUGCUUCUUCCUUGGUACUUCUCUCAUAUCAUGGCGUGCAAAGAAACAAGAUCCAGAUCAUCAUCGAAGGCUGAGUAUCAGGCGCUAUCAUUUGCCAUAUGUGAAUUGCUUUGGUUGAUAGUCCUUGUGAAGGAGCUUAACAUCACAUGUACCAAACUUCUUGUCCUUUAUUGUGACAGCCAAAGUGCAAUGCAUAUUGUGUCCAAUCCGGUAUUUCAUGAACAAACCAAACAUCUUGAGAUCGAUUGCCAUUUGGUCCGUGAAAAACUACAACAAGGCUUACUUCGGCUCCUACCAAUUUCCACUCAUGAGCAACUUGUUGAUUUUCUAACUAAAGCAUUACCAACUUCAACUUUCAACAAGUUUAUUUCCAAGCUUGGCAUGAUCAACAUUCACCAUGCUUAGCUUGAGAGGGGCUGUUAAGAUUAGCUACUUUAAUAAACUUCAACUUUCAACAAGUUUAUUUCCAAGCUUGGCAUGAUCAACAUUCACCAUGCUUAGCUUGAGAGGGGCUGUUAAGAUUAGCUACUUUAAUCAUUGGAUUAGAUUAGUUGAUUAAUAUAGUUGAUAAGGAUAUUGUUAGUUAGGUGGUUAUUUGGUUAGUUAGUUUCAUAUGAUUGGCGAGUGUACUAUAUAAGAGUUCACACUUGAAUAAUCAAUGAAGCUAUAAUUCUCUCUUCUCGAAGUUUUCCUUCUCAUUUGCAUUUUAUUAUCCUUUCUUCAAUGAUGAAAUAACUUCAUCACAAUAAUUUUGUUUCUCAUAAGAUAAGAUUAGAGAUGUUUUUGAAAAAGAUAUAAGUUGGAUCUUGGUGAGUAGAGAUGUAUUUGAAAAAGAUAUAAGUUGGGACUAGGAUAAAAGGCACGAGGAAACCAUUAAAUUCAAUUUAGAGUGAAAAUAUGAAUAAGGUGAAGUCUCCAUUUCUACAAACGAUGAGACAGGCAUUAUUGAAGAAAUAGAAGGAGAAUGCUCUAACUUAAAUGAUUCAAUAAAAAAAAGCACCCAGGUUUAAAUAAAAGAUAACACAACAAUCUAUUUAGGUGUAAGGAAAAAUUACACUUGAGAGUUGACAAAUUUAUUUGGAUGGUAGGAAUGGUUUUUAAAACAAAUCCCAAGUAAACAAUGCCAUUGAUUUUGUAACUACAACGUUGUUCCACAAACACAUCUUAAUUGAGUACACCAUGUAAGAAUGAAGAUUUUACAUCAAAUUCAUAAAUGGUGCGUCCCUUUUGAGCAUCAAGCACUGGCAGUAAUUGAAUUGUAUAUAUCAUGCUAUCAAUGUGAAGAUCCAAUUAAAUCGAUGUUUUUAUUUUAUGAAUUAAAACAAGCACCACAAGCAUGAUACAAACACACUGUGUCUUAUUUUCUUAAAAGAAGACUUUGAAAGACGCUCACAAAAGAUGAUCUAAUAUUUCCUGUCAAUGAUGAGUCCAUAUUUGUUGGAACAAAAAAUUCAUGAUGGUUGAUUUUGCUAUGAUUGAUUAGAGAAAGAUGAUGUAAUUUCUGAGUAUUGAAGUAACAGAAAAAGGUGUUUUAAUUAGUAGAAAAACAGAUAUGUUAAAGAAAUGUUCGAGUAAGUAAUAGGUAUGGACUAAAAAAAUGAUCCAAUUGUUCCUGAGCCAAUUAAUGAAACUAAAAAAAUGAUGAUGAAUCUGCCAAAAUAACACGCACUACAGUAUUUCAUCAGAUGGCGAGACAGUUGAAAGAUAGCAAAAGAUUAUCCAUAAGAAAUUGUGUCAAAAAACUGGAAUCAAAAUAUAACUUAAGUAGCCAAAUACAAAAAUAUCUAGGAUUAAAACAGAUUAAC
This 17159-nucleotide long non-coding RNA is filed under the name Lathyrus oleraceus (garden pea). RNAcentral describes it as "Pisum sativum (pea) long non-coding RNA (PSAT_LNC011205)". Lineage: Eukaryota; Viridiplantae; Streptophyta; Magnoliopsida; Fabales; Fabaceae. The record is from RNAcentral.